CUCCGGUCUACUGCAGUCGACGAGUCUCCAUUUGAUUUUAUGCUUGCAUAAAUGAUUUUUGGAUUCGGGACGAGUGGCGAACUGGUGAGUAACACGUGGGUAACCUGCCCUGAAGUAGGGGAUAACAUUUGGAAACAGAUGCUAAUACCGUAUAAUUAGUUGGAACCACAUGGUUCCAACUUGAAAGAUGGCUCUGCUAUCACUUUAGGAUGGACCCGCGGCGUAUUAGCUAGUUGGUGAGAUAAAAGCUCACCAAGGCGAUGAUACGUAGCCGACCUGAGAGGGUAAUCGGCCACAUUGGGACUGAGACACGGCCCAGACUCCUACGGGAGGCAGCAGUAGGGAAUCUUCCACAAUGGACGAAAGUCUGAUGGAGCAACGCCGCGUGAGUGAAGAAGGGUUUCGGCUCGUAAAACUCUGUUGUUAAAGAAGAACAAGUGUAAGAGUAACUGUUUACGCUUUGACGGUAUUUAACCAGAAAGCCACGGCUAACUACGUGCCAGCAGCCGCGGUAAUACGUAGGUGGCAAGCGUUGUCCGGAUUUAUUGGGCGUAAAGCGAGCGCAGGUGGUUCUUUUAAGUCUGUUGUGAAAGCCCUCAGCUCAACUGAGGAAGUGCAGCGGAAACUAAAGGACUUGAGUACAGAAGAGGAUAGUGGAACUCCAUGUGUAGCGGUGAAAUGCGUAGAUAUAUGGAAGAACACCAGUGGCGAAGGCGGCUAUCUGGUCUGUUACUGACACUGAGGCUCGAAAGCAUGGGUAGCGAACAGGAUUAGAUACCCUGGUAGUCCAUGCACGUAAACGAUGAAUACUAGGUGUUGGAGGGUUUCCGCCCUUCAGUGCCGCAGCUAACGCAUUAAGUAUUCCGCCUGGGGAGUACGACCGCAAGGUUGAAACUCAAAGGAAUUGACGGGGGCCCGCACAAGUGGUGGAGCAUGUGGUUUAAUUCGAUGCUACGCGAAGAACCUUACCAGGUCUUGACAUCUUCUGCCAACCUAAGAGAUUAGGCGUUCCCUUCGGGGACAGAAUGACAGGUGGUGCAUGGUUGUCGUCAGCUCGUGUCGUGAGAUGUUGGGUUAAGUCCCGCAACGAGCGCAACCCUUAUUAUUAGUUGCCAGCAUUAAGUUGGGCACUCUAGUGAGACUGCCGGUGAUAAACCGGAGGAAGGUGGGGAUGACGUCAAAUCAUCAUGCCCCUUAUGACCUGGGCUACACACGUGCUACAAUGGAUGGUACAACGAGUCGCGAAACCGCGAGGUCAAGCUAAUCUCUUAAAGCCAUUCUCAGUUCGGAUUGCAGGCUGCAACUCGCCUGCAUGAAGUUGGAAUCACUAGUAAUCGUGGAUCAGCAUGCCACGGUGAAUACGUUCCCGGGCCUUGUACACACCGCCCGUCACACCAUGAGAGUUGUAACACCCAAAGACGAUGGAGUAACUCGGAGCUUAGGUGUUUAAAUGGGGA
RNAcentral lists this ribosomal RNA (1457 nucleotides) under Apilactobacillus micheneri. RNAcentral's name for it is "bacterial SSU rRNA". It matches the Rfam family "Bacterial small subunit ribosomal RNA". The record is from RNAcentral. Lineage: Bacteria; Bacillati; Bacillota; Bacilli; Lactobacillales; Lactobacillaceae.